Molecule: non-coding RNA, 30 nt
Filed under: Rattus norvegicus (Norway rat)
Lineage: Eukaryota; Metazoa; Chordata; Mammalia; Rodentia; Muridae
Source: RNAcentral
UGGUGAUCCAGGUUGGUGUCUGUUUGAUGU